Molecule: non-coding RNA, 218 nt
Organism: Lonchura striata (white-rumped munia)
Lineage: Eukaryota; Metazoa; Chordata; Aves; Passeriformes; Estrildidae
Source: RefSeq, a predicted model, not a curated record
UCAUGCAGACCCUGUGGAACAUGAACCCCAUCUGCUCGGGCUCCGAGGAAGGUUUUGUCACCGGCGGCCACGUCCUGCGCCUGUUCCACGGCCACAUGGACGAGUGCCUGACCCCCACGGCCCCCGAGCAGGGCGAGGAGCGCAGCGUUGUCAACUACGAGGGCGGCGCCGUCUGCGCCCACGCCCGGUCCCUGUGGCGCCUGGAGCCCCUGCGCAUC